Molecule: ribosomal RNA, 231 nt
Filed under: uncultured bacterium
Lineage: Bacteria
Description: partial 16S ribosomal RNA
Rfam family: Bacterial small subunit ribosomal RNA
Source: RNAcentral
ACGGGUGAGUAACACGUAUCCAACCUGCCGUCUACUCUUGACAGCCUUCUGAAAGGAAGAUUAAUACAAGAUGGCAUCAUGAGUCCGCAUGUUCACAUGAUUAAAGGUAUUCCGGUAGACGAUGGGGAUGCGUUCCAUUAGAUAGUAGGCGGGGUAACGGCCCACCUAGUCAACGAUGGAUAGGGGUUCUGAGAGGAAGGUCCCCCACAUUGGAACUGAGACACGGUCCAA